RNAcentral lists this ribosomal RNA (492 nucleotides) under uncultured bacterium. Its description in RNAcentral is "partial 16S ribosomal RNA". It matches the Rfam family "Bacterial small subunit ribosomal RNA", at positions 29 to 507 of the family's 1533-position model. The record is from RNAcentral.
AGUGAACGCUGGCGGUAGGCCUAACACAUGCGAGUCGAACGGCAGCACAGUAAGAGCUUGCUCUUACGGGUGGCGAGUGGCGGACGGGUGAGAAAUACAUCGGAAUCUACUUUUUCGUGGGGGAUAACGUAGGGAAACUUACGCUAAUACCGCAUACGACCUACGGGUGAAAGCAGGGGAUCUUCGGACCUUGCGCGAUUGAAUGAGCCGAUGUCGGAUUAGCUAGUUGGCGGGGUAAAGGCCCACCAAGGCGACGAUCCGUAGCUGGUCUGAGAGGAUGAUCAGCCACACUGGAACUGAGACACGGUCCAGACUCCUACGGGAGGCGGCAGUGGGGAAUAUUGGACAAUGGGCGCAAGCCUGAUCCAGCCAUACCGCGUGGGUGAAGAAGGCCUUCGGGUUGUAAAGCCCUUUUGUUGGGAAAGAAAAGCAGCAGGUUAAUACCCCGCUGUUCUGACGGUACCCAAAGAAUAAGCACCGGCUAACUUCGUG